GUUGUCAUGGCCGAGAGGUUAAGGCGAUGGACUCAAAAUCCAUUGGGGUCUACUCGCGCAGGUUCGAAUCCUGCUGUCAACA
Molecule: non-coding RNA, 82 nt
Organism: Etheostoma spectabile (orangethroat darter)
Lineage: Eukaryota; Metazoa; Chordata; Actinopteri; Perciformes; Percidae
Source: the annotation of a RefSeq genome assembly